This 96-nucleotide non-coding RNA is filed under the name Cellulomonas sp. Its description in RNAcentral is "SAM-I sequence". It matches the Rfam family "SAM riboswitch aptamer (S box leader)". Rfam says of the family: The SAM riboswitch is found upstream of a number of genes which code for proteins involved in methionine or cysteine biosynthesis in Gram-positive bacteria. The SAM riboswitch acts at the level of transcription termination control. The predicted structure consists of a complex stem-loop region followed by a single stem loop terminator region. Lineage: Bacteria; Bacillati; Actinomycetota; Actinomycetes; Micrococcales; Cellulomonadaceae. The record is from RNAcentral.
GGACCAUCCAGAGCGGCCGAGAGACCCGGUUCGUCGACGCCGCAGCAACCCCCUCAGCGCAUGAGGAGUGGGUGCUUCCGCCGGGAACGAUGGAGA